AUUAAUACGAUGAUAGGAUUUCAGUAGUCUUUUUAUCCCUGUUGUGAAGAGAGCCAGUGGGUGGUGCAAACUGGUACAUAUAAAAAAGACGAAUUUCGUUCCUGGAGUAUCUUUUUCGACCUUUGGAAGGAAAAGACGGAUUGUCUCGAUAACGACAGCAAAGUGGAGAUGUUCAUCUCAAUUUAGGGUGGUACCGCGGUCAAAAGCCGUCCCUGUG
Molecule: non-coding RNA, 217 nt
Filed under: Bacillus sp. (in: firmicutes)
Lineage: Bacteria; Bacillati; Bacillota; Bacilli; Caryophanales; Bacillaceae
Description: Bacillus sp. T-box sequence
Rfam family: T-box leader
About the family: Uncharged tRNA acts as the effector for transcription antitermination of genes in the T-box leader family. T-boxes are found upstream of many aminoacyl-tRNA synthetase genes and some amino acid biosynthetic genes usually in Gram-positive bacteria.
Source: RNAcentral